CUACUAUCUGCAUGAGAUUGAGGGUUUAGUUCCUUAUUAGAUCACAGAGAGCUAGGGUUUCAAUUGAGCCCUGCUUCUUCUGUUUUUUCCAUAGAAGGAGAGAGAGAGGGCGGAGAGAGAUCAAGUUUUUUGUUUAUUUAUUUACUUGGAAGAUGGCAGUGAUGAGCGCUCCCCAUCCCUUAGCAUUUGCUUUUGGCAUCUUAGGCAACAUUAUCUCAGUCAUGGUGUAUCUGGCUCCAGUGCCUACAUUUUUCAGAAUAUGCAGGAAAAAAUCCACUGAAGGUUUCCAAUCUCUGCCUUACCUUGUGGCAUUAUUCAGUUCCAUGCUUUGGCUCCACUAUGCAAUGCUCAAGAAAGAUGCUCUCCUUCUUAUCACCAUCAACGCAUUUGGAUGUGUCAUAGAGACUAUAUACAUUACGUUGUAUAUCGCAUACGCUUCAAAAGAGAACAGGAUCUCAACCUUCAGACUUCUGCUUUCCAUGAACCUGGGUUUGUUCUCUAUCAUCGUCAUCCUUACACAUUUUGCAGUGAAGAAUUCAGUUCGUGUCCAAGUUCUUGGUUGGAUUUGUGUUGCUGUUUCUGUUAGUGUGUUUGCAGCACCCUUAAGCAUUGUGGCACAAGUUAUUCGAACAAGAAGUGUCGAGUUCAUGCCAUUCAAUUUGUCAUUUUUCCUUACAAUAAGUGCGAUUAUGUGGUUUGUCUAUGGCCUUUUCACCAAGGACAUGUGUGUGGCUCUCCCAAAUGUCUUGGGGUUCAUCUUGGGGCUACUUCAGAUGCUGUUAUAUGCAGCCUACAGGAAAGCAAAGGAAGUGAUUAUGGAGGAACAGCUACCAGAAAAUUUAAAGACCAUUGUGAUACUAAGCACUUUAGGGAAUUCUGAAGUUCAUCCCGUGGAUAUUCAACCUGAAUCCAUUGAAGGUGCCAAAGAAAAUGAACAAAAAGAGGAGGAUAAUAAUAAUAAUAAGAAGAAGA
RNAcentral lists this unclassified non-coding RNA (972 nucleotides) under Hevea brasiliensis (rubber tree). Lineage: Eukaryota; Viridiplantae; Streptophyta; Magnoliopsida; Malpighiales; Euphorbiaceae. The record is from RNAcentral.